This 113-nucleotide ribosomal RNA is filed under the name uncultured bacterium. Its description in RNAcentral is "partial 16S ribosomal RNA". It matches the Rfam family "Bacterial small subunit ribosomal RNA", at positions 1360 to 1482 of the family's 1533-position model. The record is from RNAcentral.
CGGUGAAUACGUUCCCGGGCCUUGUACACACCGCCCGUCACACCAUGGGAGUUGGUUCUACCCGAAGCCGGCGUUUGAUACCGCCGACCACGGUAGGGUCAGCGACUGGGGUG